Molecule: ribosomal RNA, 356 nt
Filed under: uncultured bacterium
Lineage: Bacteria
Description: partial 16S ribosomal RNA
Rfam family: Bacterial small subunit ribosomal RNA
Source: RNAcentral
CCUACGGGUGGCUGCAGUGAGGAAUAUUGGUCAAUGGACGCAAGUCUGAACCAGCCAUGCCGCGUGCAGGAUGACGGCUCUAUGAGUUGUAAACUGCUUUUGUACGAGGGUAAACCCCGAUACGUGUAUCGGGGUGAAAGGAACGUACGAAUAAGGAUGGGCUAACUCCGUGCCAGAAGCCGCGGUAAUACGGAGGAUCCGUGCGUUAUCCGGAUUUAUUGGGGUUUAAGGGGGCGUAGGCGGUUUGAUAAGUUAGAGGUGAAAUGUCGGGGCUCCACCCCGAAACUGCCUCUAAUACGGUUGGACUAGAGCAUAGUUGCGGUAGGCGGAAUGUAUGGUGUAGCGGUGAAAUGCUU